Long non-coding RNA from Carassius gibelio (silver crucian carp), 757 nucleotides. RefSeq lists it as uncharacterized. The transcript has 3 exons. NCBI's taxonomy places the organism in Eukaryota, Metazoa, Chordata, Actinopteri, Cypriniformes, Cyprinidae. The record is from RefSeq and is a predicted model, not a curated record.
CUCCAGGAUCAGGAAUUGACAUCCCUGCUGUAGGUAAAAGGCCUGGGUCAAAUCUGAAGCUGUCAAGUGUUUGUAGCCCACUGCAAAACAGCAGCAGGUCUUUGCCUUUGUCUACAAGUCCACCUAGCUGCAGCCCAGUGGAGUCCAUUGACCCCUACACUCUAAGCUGAGGAUCAGAGAGAAGAUGAUGGGGGGGAUUGGAUCCUGUGCAACAUGCCGACUGAAUGGAUGACUGACUCUAAAUGAACUCGCACAGAGAGCACGUAUUUCAGACCUGACCUCACACAUAUAGGUCUAUACAUAACGCCAGGUGUGCUGGAUACAGUAUAACACCACAUUACGACUGGGUGAUUUGAUGGCAGAAAUGUGUCAUUCUGAGUAGAGAUCUGGUAUAUGCCUCAGUUCAUAUUCAUGCACAGGUGAAUGAGGAGGGACAACAUGUUCAUUUUCUCUUAGAGUAUGAAGGUUCUUUAUCUUAUUUGAAUCUGUAGCAUACUUGCAUUAUUUUAUGCUGCUCACAGGGUUUCUGGGGUCUUAAAAUGUCUUAAUUCAUCCCCAUCCACAAUUUAAGGCCUUAAAAAUCUUAAAUCAUAAUAGGAAUCCUUAAAUCAACAAAGUCAAUAAAAGUUUUAUGCACUGCAAAAAGGAGCACCUUGUAUUUUGUUUUCCAAAACAAAUAUCCUUCAAUACACAUUUUCUGGAGAUGCGCAUGGAAAUUGUCAGCUUUUUGUUCUUGUUUCUAGCAAAAACUCACUUC